RNAcentral lists this ribosomal RNA (508 nucleotides) under uncultured bacterium. RNAcentral describes it as "partial 16S ribosomal RNA". It matches the Rfam family "Bacterial small subunit ribosomal RNA", at positions 899 to 1397 of the family's 1533-position model. The record is from RNAcentral.
ACUCAAAUGAAUUGACGGGGACCCGCACAAACGGUGGAGCAUGUGGUUUAAUACGACGAUACGCGUGGAACCUUACCCAGACUUGACAUGUAUUUGAAAUCCUUAUGAAAGUUUGGACCCCUCGCAAGAGGCAGAUACACAGGUGUUGCAUGGCUGUCGUCAGCUCGUGUCGUGAGAUGUUGGGUUAAGUCCCGCAACGAGCGCAACCCUUAUCCUUAGUUGCCACCUACGUCUUCGGACGUAGCGCACUCUAAAGAGACUGCCGCUGAUAAAGCGGAGGAAGGUGGGGAUGACGUCAAGUCAGUACGGCCCUUACGUCUGGGGCUACACACGUGCUACAAUGGCUGGUACAAAAGGUUGCAAUACCGCGAGGUGGAGCUAAUCCCGAAAACCAGCCCCAGUUCAGAUUGCAGGCUGCAACUCGUCUGCAUGAAGCCGGAAUCGUUAGUAAUCCCGUAUCAGCCACGACGGGGUGAAUACGUUCCCGGGUCUUGUACACACCGCCCGU